This 379-nucleotide long non-coding RNA is filed under the name Calidris pugnax (ruff). RNAcentral describes it as "lncRNA (ENSCPUG00000008050.1)". Lineage: Eukaryota; Metazoa; Chordata; Aves; Charadriiformes; Scolopacidae. The record is from RNAcentral.
UCAUGCAGGAGCCCAGACCUAGCUCAUUCUGCUAGGUUUUGCUCAUUUUGCCAUUCUUUUACAGGUCUUCCCACCACGGCCUUUCCCAGUUAAACCGACCCUUCCCAACAGGGCACUGCAGCAAGUGUUCCCAGAAAUCCAACUCGCCUGACCACAUUUCCAGCGUCUAGAAAACCACUUGCCGAGGAAACAAGUUACUCAGGGUUGCUCAGAGAUGCUGUGACAGAAACAGGAGCUCAGCUUGGGUCCCCUGCCUCUCAGCUGGCCAACUGUACUCUGCUGGCAGCCUCCCACCAGCUCCAAGCCAAAAAAAGAGUCUCCAGUUCAAGGUAUGUUUUUGUUAUUGUGCAACGCUGUCUAUAAUUUGGGUAAAAUCCUG